RNAcentral lists this ribosomal RNA (269 nucleotides) under uncultured bacterium. RNAcentral's name for it is "partial 16S ribosomal RNA". It matches the Rfam family "Bacterial small subunit ribosomal RNA", at positions 793 to 1055 of the family's 1533-position model. The record is from RNAcentral.
GUCCACGCCGUAAACGAUGAUCACUAGGUGGGUGCUGAGCUAUCGGUGCCCGCCGCAGGUAAUUUGCUAAGUGAUCCGCCUGGGGAGUAUGGUCGCAAGGCUGAAACUCAAAGGAAUUGACGGGGGCUCACACAAGCGGUGGAGGAUGUGGUUUAAUUCGAAGCAACGCGCAGAACCUUACCAGGUCUUGACAUACCGGGAUUAGUUCCGUGAAAGCGGGAUGAUUACUGUCAAAAGUGUAACCGGAACAGGUGCUGCAUGGCUGUCGU